GUAAUAUUUUAGAAUAUGUAUUUUAGAUAUGUUUAGGGUGCGUAAACAAUGGAUUUUUAGCGUAGUGUGGUGCAUAGAUGUGGAUUUUAAAAAAAAUGGUACUUCUAGUAUAUCUAACAAUUAGUGCUGUUUUGGGACCUCUUCAUCUCAAACUUUAUUAAGGAUAUAGUACCCGGAGUAGGAGGUCAACGGAUUGGAUCAAGCUACAGAGACAGUGUAUUUCAUUCCUGUCUUAAGAAACCUUGUUGUCUAAACUAGAAACGAUUGUGUGGUGAAAAAUAGGACAUAACAGAUUGGAUCCAAAGGUAGGAUGGUUUAAAUUUGAUGAAUGAACUGUUUUUGCAUUCAAAUAAUUGGACUAAUUUCUGGCUGUUUCUAGUACCUGCUUUAUUCAUUUAUUUAUUCAUCAACAAGGUGAGAUGGCUGAAAAUAUUUAAAAAUAAGUAUGUACGUAAUUCUUUGUUUGAAACAUUCUGGUAACUGUUUAAACGGUUCUGUAAAGUUGAAAAUAAGGUUUAUUACUUUCAAUAUAUAUAUACUACAGUAGAAGUAUAUAAUUGUUAUAAAGUAAUUAAAAUACUUGUUUUUAAAUAGGCUUUACAAUACCAAGGUUCUUGGUGUAUGAGUUCUUUUACACUAAUAAAGAAUCUUGCAAAACUUAAGAUAAGAUUUUAAAGAUUUCAGCUUGUAAUGAUUUUACUUCAUUUGAUUUGCUAAUUAUUGAUAAUAUGCAUAACAAAAUUAUAAAUGGUUGUUGGAAUUAAUACUAAAAUUAAAUAAUUAUAUGUGUGCUAGGUACAAAGAAGAAUCAUGAAAGUGACUGAAUACUCUUUAAUAAGUUUUCAUCUUACAGGAUAAAAACUUCGGAUGCCAUUAAGUUAAGGAGUCUUGGUUGUUUCAGUCUUCAUUCGCUUCAGAAAGUAGCUGUAUCUAUGUUCCCAAAGAAAGCAUGAAAAUGCCUUUUUCCCAUUGGAAAUUGUUUGUUACAAAAAGGAAAAGUUUAUGAGAAUCAAUUGAUUAUUCAUGAGGAGGAAUUACAGUUAAUUGAAACAACCGAUGCUUUUGACGCAAGGGAAAGACAACUGGAAAUGAAUUUGGAAACCACCAAAACAACAGAUCGUCUGCCGUGGUAUCCCUCCUGGAUUUGGCUUGUGCAUUACACUUAUGGGCUUUACAUCACUGAAACAUGUUUUCUGCUAUGAUAUUCCUUCUGGAUUUAGUUUGCUUUUCACACAUGCAAACUUGGGAACUUUACAGUAGUCUACUGUUUACUAAGAUCGACGUUGGAGAAGACAAAGAUGACCCAGUAGUUGAAA
Molecule: long non-coding RNA, 1316 nt
Organism: Agrilus planipennis (emerald ash borer)
Lineage: Eukaryota; Metazoa; Arthropoda; Insecta; Coleoptera; Buprestidae
Exons: 4
Source: RefSeq, a predicted model, not a curated record